GAUGAACGCUGGCGGCGUGCCUAAUACAUGCAAGUCGAGCGAACAGAUGAGGAUCUUGCUCCUCUGACGUUAGCGGCGGACGGGUGAGUAACAUGUGGAUAACCUACCUAUAAGACUGGGAUAACUUCGGGAAACCGGAGCUAAUACCGUAUAAUCUAUUGAACCGCAUGGUUCAAUAGUGAAAGACGGUUUUGCUGUCACUUAUAGAUGGAUCCGCGCCGCAUUAGCUAGUUGGUAAGGUAACGGCUUACCAAGGCAACGAUGCGUAGCCGACCUGAGAGGGGGAUAGGCGACAUGGGAACGGAGACACGGUCAAGACGACUAAGGGAGGCAGCAGUAGGGAAUCUGACGCAAUGGGCGAAAGCAUGACGGAGCAACGCCGCGUGAGUGAUGAAGGUGUUCGGAGCGGAAAACUCUGUUAUGAGGGAAGAACAAAUGUGUAAGUAACUAUGCACGGCUUGACGGUACCUAAUCAGAAAGCCACGGCUAACUACGUG
RNAcentral lists this ribosomal RNA (497 nucleotides) under uncultured bacterium. RNAcentral's name for it is "partial 16S ribosomal RNA". It matches the Rfam family "Bacterial small subunit ribosomal RNA", at positions 28 to 507 of the family's 1533-position model. The record is from RNAcentral.